This 420-nucleotide ribosomal RNA is filed under the name bacterium. RNAcentral describes it as "partial 16S ribosomal RNA". It matches the Rfam family "Bacterial small subunit ribosomal RNA", at positions 355 to 776 of the family's 1533-position model. The record is from RNAcentral.
UGGGGGAUAUUGCACAAUGGGCGAAAGCCUGAUGCAGCGACGCCGCGUGGGGGAUGAAGGCUUUCGGGUUGUAAACCUCUUUCGCUAUCGAACAAGGCCCGCUUAGGGUGGGUUGAGGGUAGGUGGAGAAGAAGCGCCGGCUAACUACGUGCCAGCAGCCGCGGUAAUACGUAGGGCGCGAGCGUUGUCCGGAAUUAUUGGGCGUAAAGGGCUUGUAGGCGGCUUGUUGCGCCUGCUGUGAAAACGCGGGGCUUAACUUCGCGCGUGCAGUGGGUACGGGCAGGCUUGAGUGUGGUAGGGGUGACUGGAAUUCCAGGUGUAGCGGUGGAAUGCGCAGAUAUCUGGAGGAACACCGAUGGCGAAGGCAGGUCACUGGGCCAUUACUGACGCUGAGGAGCGAAAGCAUGGGAAGCGAACAGG